GAUGAACGCUGGCGGCGUGCCUAAUACAUGCAAGUCGAGCGAACGGACGAGAAGCUUGCUUCUCUGAUGUUAGCGGCGGACGGGUGAGUAACACGUGGAUAACCUACCUAUAAGACUGGGAUAACUUCGGGAAACCGGAGCUAAUACCGGAUGAUAUUUUGAACCGCAUGGUUCAAAAGUGAAAGACGGUCUUGCUGUCACUUAUAGAUGGAUCCGCGCUGCAUUAGCUAGUUGGUAAGGUAAUGGCUUACCAAGGCAACGAUGCAUAGCCGACCUGAGAGGGUGAUCGGCCACACUGGAACUGAGACACGGUCCAGACUCCUACGGGAGGCAGCAGUAGGGAAUCUUCCGUAAUGGGCGAAAGCCUGACGGAGCAACGCCGCGUGAGUGAUGAAGGUCUUCGGAUCGUAAAACUCUGUUAUUAGGGAAGAACAUAUGUGUAAGUAACUGUGCACAUCUUGACGGUACCUAAUCAGAAAGCCACGGCUAACUACGUG
RNAcentral lists this ribosomal RNA (497 nucleotides) under uncultured bacterium. Its description in RNAcentral is "partial 16S ribosomal RNA". It matches the Rfam family "Bacterial small subunit ribosomal RNA", at positions 28 to 507 of the family's 1533-position model. The record is from RNAcentral.